AUGAACGCUGGCGGCGUGCCUAAUACAUGCAAGUCGAGCGAACGGACGAGAAGCUUGCUUCUCUGAUGUUAGCGGCGGACGGGUGAGUAACACGUGGAUAACCUACCUAUAAGACUGGGAUAACUUCGGGAAACCGGAGCUAAUACCGGAUAAUAUUUUGAACCGCAUGGUUCAAAAGUAAAAGACGGUCUUGCUGUCACUUAUAGAUGGAUCCGCGCUGCAUUAGCUAGUUGGUAAGGUAACGGCUUACCAAGGCAACGAUGCAUAGCCGACCUGGGAGGGUGAUCGGCCACACUGGAACUGAGACACGGUCCAGACUCCUACGGGAGGCAGCAGUAGGGAAUCUUCCGCAAUGGGCGAAAGCCUGACGGAGCAACGCCGCGUGAGUGAUGAAGGUCUUCGGAUCGUAAAACUCUGUUAUUAGGGAAGAACAUAUGUGUAAGUAACUGUGCACAUCUUGACGGUACCUAAUCAGAAAGCCACGGCUAACUACGUG
Molecule: ribosomal RNA, 496 nt
Filed under: uncultured bacterium
Lineage: Bacteria
Description: partial 16S ribosomal RNA
Rfam family: Bacterial small subunit ribosomal RNA
Source: RNAcentral